Molecule: long non-coding RNA, 1044 nt
Organism: Ooceraea biroi (clonal raider ant)
Lineage: Eukaryota; Metazoa; Arthropoda; Insecta; Hymenoptera; Formicidae
Source: RefSeq, a predicted model, not a curated record
CUUUUAUUUACAACACUAUUUUGUAGAGAUGUCAGGUAUUUGUUUUAAAGAGUUCAGUCUUUGUCAGAGCGUCUUGCGUUAUGUAUCUCUAACAUAAGAUGUAUUCUCACCGUUAUGUAGACUCAGUUAUUUUCAGCCAGUAAGCGACUUUUGUUAAUAUUUUGUUGUGUAAUUGUUUUUUGCAUUCCUUGUUUUAAAUUCUUGACAAUUAUUUUUAGAAAAUGACUGUUUAUUUAACACUUGAAAAGGACUCGAAUUUGGGUCGAAACGUCGCGUCGUGUAGCCGUUAAUUUAAGGGGGCAUAUACGUUUGUCGGUUUCAAAAAAUUGAUUUUUUUUUCUUUCCAUUUUUCAACAGUUUGAACCUUCAAGAAUGUUGUCUUAAAACCGUGUUUUGAAAUUCGAAUAAGUAAAGAAGUUACAACGCGUUUUGUCGGGCAGUGCACAGGCGUGCGCCUGCCGUUUCUGAAGCGGCGCGCAGGUAGAAGGGUCGGACCCUCAUGCAACGGUUUCUUUUGUCCCUUUACAAUAAAACUUACUUUUGAGAUUGAAGUAUAGGUAUUUUCUAAUAGAUGAUGAUGCUGUAAGCAGUGCUCUAAGCUGUUUUCAAGCCGAUUAUUCAUUUAGUUGGCGUCGGUUGCGUGAUACGGACGAUUCUCGUUGUUUGUGGAGUACAUGUCACGAUGAAAUAGGUGUAAAAGUUCUCGAGAGUCACAGGGAGUGAACAAAUUUCGAAAAAGUUUUACGUGCAAGCGAAAAAUGCUGCCCAAUAGGUGGCAAACGGUGUAUCCAAGCGGACGUCCGAGCACAGCAUGCGAUGCGGGAGGCCCGAAUAAGCCGUCGCCUCGCUAAAAACCAACAAAUGGAGGCAAACCUUGUGCAGGAGGAUUCCCUGUAUGGCCCAGGAAUUGACAAUGACGUAUGAACGGGCACAGAGAUAUUAUUGUAACCGCGGAAUGACGAAUCGCGUGCACGGUUAACUACACGACGGUGGAAGGGGGGGAUUUUGUAACACUAUUAUUUCAAUAAAAUUUGUAUAAGAAGU